This 509-nucleotide ribosomal RNA is filed under the name uncultured Glomeraceae. RNAcentral describes it as "SSU rRNA". It matches the Rfam family "Eukaryotic small subunit ribosomal RNA", at positions 569 to 1082 of the family's 1831-position model. The record is from RNAcentral. Lineage: Eukaryota; Fungi; Glomeromycota; Glomeromycetes; Glomerales; Glomeraceae.
AGCAGCCGCGGUAAUUCCAGCUCCAAUAGCGUAUAUUAAAGUUGUUGCAGUUAAAAAGCUCGUAGUUGAAUUUCGGGGUCAGUAGGUUGGUCGUGCCACCGGUACGUACUGGUCUCACUGAUUCCUCCUUCCUGAUGAGCUGUAAUGCCAUUAAUUUGGUGUUGCAGGGAAUCUGGACUGUUACUUUGAAAAAAUUAGAGUGUUUAAAGCAGGCUAACGCUUGAAUACAUUAGCAUGGAAUAAUGAAAUAGGACGUUCGAUCCUAUUUUGUUGGUUUCUAGGAUUGACGUAAUGAUUAAUAGGGAUAGUUGGGGGCAUUAGUAUUCAAUUGUCAGAGGUGAAAUUCUUGGAUUUAUUGAAGACUAACUACUGCGAAAGCAUUUGCCAAGGAUGUUUUCAUUAAUCAAGAACGAAAGUUAGGGGAUCGAAGACGAUCAGAUACCGUCGUAGUCUUAACCAUAAACUAUGCCGACUAGGGAUCGGAUGAUGUUAAUUUUUUAAUGUACUCA